AACGAACGCUGGCGGCAUGCCUAACACAUGCAAGUCGAACGAAACCUUCGUGUCUAUGUGCGCACGUCUACUUAACACCUGGUAACCUGCCCGUAGGUUCGGAAUAACUCCCCUAAAGGUGUGCUAAUACCAGUUAAUGUCUUCGCACCAAAGAUUUAUCGCCUUUGGAUGGGCCCUCGUUGGAUUAGCUAGUUGGUAGUGUAAAAGCCUACCAUGGCGACGAUCCAUAGCUGGUCUGAUACGAUGACAAGCCACAAUGGGACUGCGACACGGCCCAGACUGCUACGGGAGGGAGCAGUGGGGAAUAUUGGAGAAUGGGCGAAAGCGCGACAAAGCAAUGCCGCGUGAGUGAUGCAGGCGUUAGGGUUGUAAAGCUCUCUUACACGGGAUGAUAAUGACAGUAACGGGAGAAUAAGCACCGGCUAACUACGUG
RNAcentral lists this ribosomal RNA (433 nucleotides) under uncultured bacterium. RNAcentral's name for it is "partial 16S ribosomal RNA". It matches the Rfam family "Bacterial small subunit ribosomal RNA", at positions 29 to 507 of the family's 1533-position model. The record is from RNAcentral.